RNAcentral lists this ribosomal RNA (492 nucleotides) under uncultured bacterium. RNAcentral describes it as "partial 16S ribosomal RNA". It matches the Rfam family "Bacterial small subunit ribosomal RNA", at positions 29 to 507 of the family's 1533-position model. The record is from RNAcentral.
AGUGAACGCUGGCGGUAGGCCUAACACAUGCAAGUCGAACGGCAGCACAGUAAGAGCUUGCUCUUACGGGUGGCGAGUGGCGGACGGGUGAGGAAUACAUCGGAAUCUACUUUUUCGUGGGGGAUAACGUAGGGAAACUUACGCUAAUACAGCAUACGACCUACGGGUGAAAGCAGGGGAUCUUCGGACCUUGCGCGAUUGAAUGAGCCGAUGUCGGAUUAGCUAGUUGGCGGGGUAAAGGCCCACCAAGGCGACGAUCCGUAGCUGGUCUGAGAGGAUGAUCAGCCACACUGGAACUGAGACACGGUCCAGAGUCCUACGGGAGGCAGCAGUGGGGAAUAUUGGACAAUGGGCGCAAGCCUGAUCCAGCCAUACCGCGUGGGUGAAGAAGGCCUUCGGGUUGUAAAGCCCUUUUGUUGGGAAAGAAAAGCAGCAGGUUAAUACCCCGCUGUUCUGACGGUACCCAAAGAAUAAGCACCGGCUAACUUCGUG